This 377-nucleotide ribosomal RNA is filed under the name uncultured Chloroflexota bacterium. RNAcentral describes it as "bacterial SSU rRNA". It matches the Rfam family "Bacterial small subunit ribosomal RNA", at positions 521 to 896 of the family's 1533-position model. Lineage: Bacteria; Bacillati; Chloroflexota. The record is from RNAcentral.
UAAUACGUAGGAGGCGAGCGUUAUCCGGAUUUACUGGGCGUAAAGGGGGCGUAGGCGGCUUUUCAAGUUGGAUGUGAAAUCUCCCUGCUUAACGGGGAGGGGUCAUUCAAUACUGUUAGGCUAGAGGGCAGCAGAGGAAGGUGGAAUUCCCGGUGUAGUGGUGAAAUGCGUAGAUAUCGGGAGGAACACCAGUGGCGAAGGCGGCCUUCUGGGCUGUUCCUGACGCUGAGGCCCGAAAGCGCGGGGAGCGAACAGGAUUAGAUACCCUGGUAGUCCGCGCAGUAAACGAUGGACACUUGGUAUAGGGAGUAUCGACCCUCUCUGUGCCUUAGUUAACGCGUUAAGUGUCCCGCCUGGGGAGUACGGCCGCAAGGCUA